UACGAAGGGGGCGAGCGUUGUUCGGAAUUACUGGGCGUAAAGGGCGCGUAGGCGGCCUGUUAAGUCGAACGUGAAAUCCCCGGGCUCAACCCGGGAACUGCGUCCGAUACUGGCAGGCUUGAAUUCGGGAGAGGGAUGUGGAAUUCCAGGUGUAGCGGUGAAAUGCGUAGAUAUCUGGAGGAACACCGGUGGCGAAGGCGGCAUCCUGGACCGAUAUUGACGCUGAUGCGCGAAAGCCAGGGGAGCAAACGGG
Molecule: ribosomal RNA, 253 nt
Filed under: uncultured bacterium
Lineage: Bacteria
Description: partial 16S ribosomal RNA
Rfam family: Bacterial small subunit ribosomal RNA
Source: RNAcentral